UGGAAAUCACAUGCUGUCAUUUCUGCGAUCGGACAUAACCAGUCCUGAUUCCAUGUUAGAGGAGACUACAUAAGGACACAGGUACCAGAAGAUGAAAAAUUUGGAAUCUAGUGAAGAGAAGUGACUUGUUCAAAGUCACACAGCACACGAAGAACAGAGCCUCUAUGAUGAAUUUCUUGACAGGAUCGCAUGGAGGAUGCCACAUUACGUUUCACUGCCAUGUCUCCGUAGACUCCUCUUGGUUGUGCUGGUUUCUCACGCUUUUCUUGGUUUUGAAGACAUUGACAAUUUUCUUCCAUUGGGAUUUGCUUGAUGCUUUUCUCAUGAUUACACUGGAAUUGUGACUUUUUAGAAGGAAGAUCAUACAGGCACAGCAGAUGGAGGACUCAAUGCUUAUGCUGGAGAAGGAAGCUACAUUGUCCCUUAGUUCAUGGAAAUGUCAAGUCUAGAAGAUGGAAGAGUUCAGUUAAUAUCUCCAGAGACCCACAACAGGGUCUCCCUCUGUCAUCCAGGCUGGAGAGCAGUGGUGUGAUGACAACUCACUGCAGCUUCAACUUCCUGAGCUCAAGCAGUCCUUUCACCUCAGCCUCUGGAAUAGCUGGAACUACAGGUUCGCUGUAAGGAUCACCAUCACUGGAGAAAUAGAAACGUCAGCAAGAAGGGUACAAGUGGGGUUUGGAAGUGACAAGAGACGUUGGCUAUGACUCAUUCAUGGGCCUGCACCUGUAUAACUUCUCCUCUUCCUCGCUGCGUUA
Molecule: long non-coding RNA, 755 nt
Organism: Symphalangus syndactylus (siamang)
Lineage: Eukaryota; Metazoa; Chordata; Mammalia; Primates; Hylobatidae
Source: RefSeq, a predicted model, not a curated record